RNAcentral lists this ribosomal RNA (261 nucleotides) under uncultured archaeon. Its description in RNAcentral is "partial 16S ribosomal RNA". It matches the Rfam family "Archaeal small subunit ribosomal RNA", at positions 748 to 1008 of the family's 1478-position model. The record is from RNAcentral.
CAGCCGUAAACUAUGCGCGUUAGGUGUACUGGUGACCACGAGUCACCGGGUGCCGAAGGGAAACCGUGAAACGUGCCGCCUGGGAAGUACGGUCGCAAGGCUGAAACUUAAAGGAAUUGGCCGGGGGAGCACCACAACGGGUGGAGCCUGCGGUUUAAUUGGACUCAACGCCGGAAAUCUCACCGGAUAGGACAGACAUAUGAUAGUCGGGCUGAAGACUCUACUUGAUGAUCUGAGAGGAGGUGCAUGGCGUCAGUGACU